Molecule: ribosomal RNA, 381 nt
Filed under: uncultured eukaryote
Lineage: Eukaryota
Description: SSU rRNA
Rfam family: Eukaryotic small subunit ribosomal RNA
Source: RNAcentral
AGCUCCAAUAGCGUAUAUUAAAGUUGUUGCAGUUAAAAAGCUCGUAGUUGGAUUUCUGGCAGGAGCGACCGGUCACACACUCUGUGUGUGAACUUGUGUUGUCUCUGGCCAUCCUUGGGGAGAUCCUGUUUGGCAUUAAGUUGUCGGGCAGGGGACAUCCAUCGUUUACUGUGAAAAAAUUAGAGUGUUUAAAGCAGGCUUAUGCCGUUGAAUAUAUUAGCAUGGAAUAAUAAGAUAGGACUUCGGAACUAUUUUGUUGGUUUGCGUUACGAAGUAAUGAUUAAUAGGGACAGUUGGGGGUAUUCGUAUUUCGGUGUCAGAGGUGAAAUUCUUGGAUUUCCGAAAGACGAACUACUGCGAAAGCAUUUACCAAGGAUGUUU